Molecule: long non-coding RNA, 646 nt
Filed under: Mus musculus (house mouse)
Lineage: Eukaryota; Metazoa; Chordata; Mammalia; Rodentia; Muridae
Description: long non-coding RNA chr16:13702541-13703187
Source: RNAcentral
UGACAUGCUGUCAAAAGGCUAAUAUAGACUGGGUGUGGUAGUGCACACCUUGAAUCUGAGCACUAGGAAAACAGGCAGGUGGAUUUUUGAGUUCAAGACCAGAGUGGUCUACAGAGUGAGUUCUACAACAGCCAGGGCUACAUAGAGGAACCAUGUCUCUAAAAAAAAAAAAAAAGAAAGAAAGAAAAAGAAAAGAAAAAAGAAAGAAAUCAAAACAAAACAAAAAGAAGAAAAGAUAAAAAGGAAGGCCAUUAUGGUCAGUAGCCCUAACCUCACUAACUGACAUACUCCCAAACCAGGCUUCUUGGGCCAGGUCUGUCCCAUGAGUCAAAUUUAGGAAAGCAAGGAUAGGUUUUGUCAUAGAUAUGGAUAGUUGGACAUACAAAAUAAAGACCUAGAAUCCAGUCAUAGUUUCUCACUGAAUAGUUGGUAGGUUUCAGAAUAAACUCAGAGAAAACUUCAGGCUAAGAGACAGUGCUGCGUAGCUGUGUUGUUUCCUGUUAUGAGCAUUGGAAAUUGGGUUCUCCUUCUGUGAGCAUGGAGUUGAAUGGAAUGCCCACCAGGCCGAGUCUUCUUAGAUGACUGAGCACUGCUUGAUGUUGUGUUUUGAAUAAUUUAAUCUGUACAAUAAAUACAGUAUAGGCUG